RNAcentral lists this long non-coding RNA (213 nucleotides) under Lathyrus oleraceus (garden pea). RNAcentral's name for it is "Pisum sativum (pea) long non-coding RNA (PSAT_LNC023346)". The record is from RNAcentral. Lineage: Eukaryota; Viridiplantae; Streptophyta; Magnoliopsida; Fabales; Fabaceae.
UUAAUUUGGUGUCUUGAUUCAUUGGAACUAGGCUUGCUAGUUAGUGAAUUAUAUCAUUGAUUGUGCAAUUAGUGUAGCAACUUGUAUCUCAAUUUAUCACUUAUCCAUUAGCUUAACGCAUAUCCGGUUUUCCAAUAACGGUUCGUUUUAGACUAAAUUUUCCUCGGCCGCUUCCGCACCUAAAACAAUUUUUAAAACCAAUUUUUCUUUUAU